AAUCGUGCAGAGAUGGAGAGGAGUAUCUGUUAUCGCCUAUUUUAAGCGAGUCCAGGUUGGUGUAAGCUGGAUAAUAGGGGUACAGAGAAAGGCGCUCCGGAGCAUUUUUAUAAAGUGGCUCAAACGUUUGAGCAAAUAGGGUGGAACCGCGGUGAAAGCCGUCCCUAUG
Bacilli bacterium VT-13-104 is the source of this 169-nucleotide regulatory RNA element. It matches the Rfam family "T-box leader". From Rfam's summary of the family: Uncharged tRNA acts as the effector for transcription antitermination of genes in the T-box leader family. T-boxes are found upstream of many aminoacyl-tRNA synthetase genes and some amino acid biosynthetic genes usually in Gram-positive bacteria. The record is from Rfam. Lineage: Bacteria; Bacillati; Bacillota; Bacilli.